This 468-nucleotide ribosomal RNA is filed under the name uncultured bacterium. Its description in RNAcentral is "partial 16S ribosomal RNA". It matches the Rfam family "Bacterial small subunit ribosomal RNA", at positions 28 to 507 of the family's 1533-position model. The record is from RNAcentral.
GACGAACGCUGGCGGCGUGCUUAACACAUGCAAGUCGAACGGAAAGGCCCUGCUUUUGUGGGGUGCUCGAGUGGCGAACGGGUGAGUAACACGUGAGUAACCUGCCCUUGACUUUGGGAUAACUUCAGGAAACUGGGGCUAAUACCGGAUAGGAGCUCCUGCUGCAUGGUGGGGGUUGGAAAGUUUCGGCGGUUGGGGAUUGACUCGCGGCUUAUCAGCUUGUUGGUGGGGUAGUGGCUUACCAAGGCUUUGACGGGUAGCCGGCCUGAGAGGGUGACCGGCCACAUUGGGACUGAGAUACGGCCCAGACUCCUACGGGAGGCAGCAGUGGGGAAUAUUGCACAGUGGGCGGAAGCCUGAUGCAGCAACGCCGCGUGCGGGAUGACGGCCUUCGGGUUGUAAACCGCUUUCGCCUGUGACGAAGCGUGAGUGACGGUAAUGGGUAAAGAAGCACCGGCUAACUACGUG